CAUUGGAGAGAUCCUUUAUUGCUUAUUCAAUGAUCACUAGCUUACUGCACUGGACUUCUCUUGGCUCGCCGAGUCCUAAAUCAGCUUGAAAUGGAUGAAGAGUAUGAGGGAAUUGUUGAGGCAACUGGGGAGGAUUUCUCGGUCGAGCCGACAGAUACCAGGAGACCUUUCCAUGCCUUCCUUGAUGUUGGUCUUGUAAGGACAACUACUGGAAACCGUGUUUUUGGUGCUCUCAAGUUGCAAUUGUCUAUCUUCAGUCAGAUCUUUAGCUUCUAUUCAGUAUCUGCCAACACUCGAAAUUGAAUAUCCUCCUUUCAAAAACUUGCCUUUUUCCAAUUAUCACCCUGCAAAAGCAGCCCCAGGGACUGGCAGACCAGAUUAAUGGCCCUCUGCAGUGGAAAGUAUUGGCAGUGAUAACUUUGCAGUUCCAUUAAGAAUGUUGUGGAUGGCAAAUCUGCUCAAUCUUGUGAUAUUUCAUUUCCAAAAUGAAAUAGAUAAAAGUAUCUUGUCAUCAUGAAACUAAAGUUUUAUGAAAUAAUAGUGGAUUAUCUAAG
Long non-coding RNA from Mangifera indica (mango), 554 nucleotides. RefSeq lists it as uncharacterized. Lineage: Eukaryota; Viridiplantae; Streptophyta; Magnoliopsida; Sapindales; Anacardiaceae. The record is from RefSeq and is a predicted model, not a curated record. The transcript is spliced from 3 exons.